Molecule: RNA transcript, 10557 nt
Organism: Numida meleagris (helmeted guineafowl)
Lineage: Eukaryota; Metazoa; Chordata; Aves; Galliformes; Numididae
Gene: EFCAB11
Gene name: EF-hand calcium binding domain 11
Exons: 8
Source: RefSeq, a predicted model, not a curated record
GCCAGGCAGCCGCCGCCAUGGGCUCGCUGCGGGAGCGCUGUGCCAGGGUUUUUAAAGUGUGUGAUGAAGAUAACAAAGGCUAUUUGAACAGAGAGGACUUGGAAGUUGCUGUAGUAAUGUUGUUUGGUUAUAAGCCCUCAGAGGUGGAGGUGGAUUCGAUAAUGUCUUCUGUGAGACCAGAAAAUUCAGGUAUGUUAUUUGAAAAGUUUUUAAAUCUCAUGAGUGCAAAGAAAUCUGCACAAUUGUAUAGUGAUGAAACAAGGGAAAUAUUCACAGCUUUUGACACGCAAGAUAAAGGAUUCUUGACUUUUGAAGACUUUAAGAAAACCUUCAAUUCUGUUCUUCCAAAAUUAUCUGAGAGAAUCAUAAUUGAAGCCUUCAGGACAAGAUGAGAAUGAUGGCAGAAGAGUUUGGUAUAUCCUUGCUUCCACCUUCCUGUUAUGAAAGCACAGAACAUCUGUGGGAGAAUUAUCUCUGGAGGGGCCUUGAUGGAGAGUACCAACCAGUCUUCACAUGAAGACACUCUAUGCUCCUCAGCACUUAUCUGCAAUCUACAUCCUUGACAGAUCAAUCUUAAUAUCACAAAUGCCUACAUAGUUGAUGGCCUGCAACAAGUACCUUGCAGCUUGGGAGAUGCAUCCCCAGACUUCCCUAACCCAGCUGAGGACGGAGGGAGCAGCCUCGUACAUCCCAGGUACACCUCUCCUCCCAGUUAGGAGGACAUUAUUGCUUCCGGAGUACACGCUGUCCAUUCUUUAACCAGACAAGAGUGGAUAAGAAAGGUAUAUGGUUGUUUUAUGCAGGCAAGACAAGGGACAAAAAUGUUGGUUGGUAACAAUGAAAGCUGUUACUAAAGAAAAGAGCUGUAGAGAGAAAAAUGCCAAUCUGCUUUAUCAAUUAAGAUCUUCUCAAGCUGUUUCACCACUUCCUAGCCCAGGAAACUUCCCUCCUCCUCACUACCCCCCUGGCCAGGUGUGUACUGGGGCUGCCUAGGGCUGCUCUCUCAGGCAGGGAGGUGAGCCCUUUUCCUGCAAGCCAGGCAUCUUAUGUUAAGGAUGUGGUAGUAAAAUAUCAUAAAUUGCAAUAAUUGAGGGGAACAAAGACAUUUUACUAUCACUUCAUUAGAGUUGCACCAUCCUUUCUAUGCUGAGCUUUUUUUAAAGACCAGAAAUGAUGUGUCUGUUAGAUUAAGCAUCCAUCUCUGUGUAUCUGUACAGUUAAUUUAAGGGUGACACUCUUAGCCAGGUCCCAUCAGGAGGAAAAGGAUAAUACACUAUUAAAGUUGCAAUUACUGUAUUAGGCUCAAAAUGUAAAUCCAUAUACCAGCUGUUAUAAUCUAGCAAAGAAGGAGGGGGAAGUCUGGCAAAUAGUUCUUGUGGGUUUUUAUAUAGCUGCUCAUAACAGUGAAAUUAAAUGAAUACAUGUGUAUGUGUGUACAGCUAGAUUUAUAGACUCUCUUUAAAAUGUAAGCACUUCAAGUCCCGCUGAAGUAGCAGAAAACAAGCUGGGAUUGUUCCACCUGCGUAACUGGCCUUCAGCUUUCGUGUGUUCAGAUAUGUUUUGCAAUGCCAGAGGGACUCACCUAUGCCUCAAGCUCAGCUGUUUCUUGGGGCAGGUGUGGGAAUUCAGAAGGUUGACCUUUGGAGCACUGCGAAGCAGGAAGGAAGCUAAUACUGCAAAGAGUGUUUCUUUUGGCAGGUGCUACCCCCUUCCCUGUGCCAGGACCCCUCUGUGAACCAGAGCCUUCAGGGCACCAGUGCUGGCUGCAGCACAAAGCCAGGCUUAGUAGCUGCGACUUUUUUUCAUGUAUUUUCUCUCUCAUAUUCUUGGCUAGAUCUCUAGCAACGUACUGUAGCUCUGCUGCAGCUUUGCUCUGCUUGUUUCAGCAGAGCUUUGUCAAUUUGGAGUAGCUGAGGGCGUAACCCUCACUCCAGAGAGAUGAAAUGCCUUGUUCAGACACCGGUACCUUAUUGGAGCUGAGAACAGCACAUACAUGGAAUGUUCACAGUAAGAGCUUCUCUUUGUGUGCCACCUGCUACCAGAAUGGUGGGGAGAUCUGCAGGAGGUACCCUUCAGUAGCUGAAAUGGCACAACCGCUUUUUCAGUGAUGAGAAAUAACAUUUCUGAGCUCACUGAGUACAGUCCAGGAGUACAUAUGAUCAUAUUCUAGAAGGAACCACCCUGCCUUUGGGUACCCUGUGAUUUUUAUCUUCUUUAGUUUUCAACUUUCCCUCUUACUGCAACUGUUCUGUUACCAGCCUUUACUUUUUCAUGUAAAUACAGCUUAUUUCAGUCUUUCACAGUCAUCCUGCAUGAUAUUCCUACCCUUUGCUGCACCGGCGGUACUUCCUAAAUUUGAGAUAGCAGAAAACUUUCUUAAUAUAAAUAUUUUAAAGUAAUAUUAAUGUAACUUUCGUUUUGCAAAUACCUCUAAUGAAAUUGUUGUACAAGAGCAGUUCAUGAACAUUACUUUUUGUCCCUCUUUGUGUAGAAACUCUGUUGGUGUGGUUCUUCCUUUUCCAUCAAAGCCUGCUGUCCUGUUGCACUGGCCAAAUCACUGCCUACUGCAUGAUUGUGCUGUGAAUUGCACAUGCUGAUUUAAAUGGUAAAUUCCCAUAUGACACUAUUGUAAAUGCUUUGCCAAAGUCCAAAUAACUGUAAUUUUCUUUCUUUUUUUUUUUUUGUUUUGUUUUCCCUUUGGGGAUAAAUAGCAGAUAACUUUUGGUAAGCUCAGACUACAUUUUUCUACAUAUAUUUAAAAAUUAUCCUAGCAAAAGGAUGUAUAACUGCUGAGAUAACUUUUCAUUUUCCCAGUGUACGUGUUACCUGUGUUGUUCUCCAGGGAGCCUGUGCCCCUUUAUGGUGGCAUUCAGUGUCUUGGUUGCUCAGAACCAGGAGGGAGCUCAUCCCUUCCUGGUCCCUUCAUCCCCAUCUAAUCUCCUAGCACUUCCACUUUAUCUCCCAUUAGCCAUCCUUUAAACAUAGUCUUUCCUCCAUUACAUUCAGUAUCACUCUCAUUACAGAAAACAGAAGUAACAUACCCAUUUAGAUUUGGAGCCGUAUUUGAUUAUCUCUGAUCUUUACAUCAUUCCCAUCAGUUCCGUGUUUUCCUCUCCAUCUCCUUUUAUUUAUGUAAAUGAGGAGCCAUUUGUUAUUUUAAUUUCCUUUGCAAUGCUUCACUUUCAGCAUUUUCCUCUGUAUUUCUGCACUCUCUGAGUACCAAGUCAGUUUUCCUAUCUGAUGUUUUUCACCUUCCAUGCCAUGUAAGUGCUCAGAUUGCUUGGACUUAGUGAUUAACUUGUCUUUGUUUUAAAAGAGAGAUGAGGUCUUGUGGCAAGAAGCAUGUCCCAGGCAUUGGCCCCAUCCUUCGGUAGUAGUGGCACUGGGAGUGAGGUCAUUUCCACUACUUGAAGUGGGACAGAGGAAACCGGAGCUUGGCAGUGCCUUAGAUUUUUGCCAGGUGAUAAAUAGGACAAUAUAUUUCAGGACUGCACUGGCAACCUGGUAUGUCUGAUCUCUCUGUGAGUAAUAGCCAUUUUGAAAUGAUUAUUCAUCCUGCUAGAUCUGAAGCAUUUCUCUAGAAGUGUUGUUUUUCUGCCCUCCUAACUUAAGUGAAGGUUUCUUUGAUCUGAAUGUCAAGUCCUUCUUAAAUUGAAAUCCUUGAGUUAUUUGGUCAACUUAUUUUCACUAGUUGUUUCCUGGUAGUUCAAUAAAUAGUAGCAGAUCUAUUUUUGUUGAUUCUUUGAUUUAAUUUUAACUGAGCCAGCCUGUGCUUGCUCAUUGCAGAAUACUUGUCUAUGAUUAGCUCUUGCAUGAUGUAUUCCCUGCUCACCAAAACCAGGUCUUAAAUGCAGCUCUCUAUAUUGCCUGCUUGGUGAAGAGAUCUGACUCUCUCUUUGAGCACCUGGACCAUAAUAUUGCUGGCCGUAUUUGUUCUGCAGUGAAGGCAUUGAACAUGGUACUGCUGUGAAUGCAUUAUGGAACCAAAGCCUUUCUUGAUGCUGUUCUCCAGUUGCUCAAAGGUUCAGUAGAACCAACUUUAACUGUCCUUCCUUGGAAUUAUUUUGGCUUGAACAGAUUGCCUUCAGCCUGUGCUGCCUUGUCUUUGCUUUCUAACCUAUUGUGUUGUGGUGCUACAACAUCCAUCUGCCAAGAUAAUCUUUAUUUCCAUCUUUCCUGAACAGCAUGUACCUUUCAAGGAUUUGCAGAGCACAGGUAAAUAGAGCAGCUUUUAGGACUGUUUUUUCCUUAUGCCUUUCAAGUUCUUUAUUCUGCUCUAGUGGAGACUGAGUAGCCCUUUCUCCAGCUUUUCUUAACCUAAUCUCCUGCCUUAGGCUGGCAGGGAAUGGAGGCACGUACUUUCACACAAAAUCACGUGGAGUUUCUCAUGCAGAAUUUUACUGUGAGAUUCCAACAAUAAUAAUAUUUCUUUUAAAAUUUUAUAAAGUCUUGCUUUCCAAAUGUGCAAGAAAAGCAGUAAAAUCUUCUCCUGGAAACCUGUUUGUCUUGUCUGAGGAACAGGUAUUUCAGGGUCUUCGCUGGGAAUAUCUGAGCUCUAAAAAAACCAUGCUAAUGUUCACCUCCACUCUGGAGCAAGCCUGUGCUCUUAGCACAUUCACCACAUAUCUUCCCUGUCUGAGAUGUGCCAGAGACAGCAAUCUCCUUGGGUUUUCCCCAUCCUUUAUUGUGUAUUCCAUUAUCCAUCUGCUAUGAAUCACUCAUAAACCAAGCCUAAUCAUUGACAAAUACGUGAAGAACUAAUUUGCUGUUCACAAGAUGAGAUGAAUUGAGUUGAAUAAUGAAGGCACUGAUGCCACUAACUUGAUUUGAUUUGUAUAUGUUUAGACACAUUUAAAGUCAAUGGAGAAGUAUUUGCAACGUGCAGAGCUCAAAUGUUUCCUGGUUAUUAUCUUCCCUUUUGUAAUAAUCAAAUUCAUUUGCAACUAACCACAACAAAGCAACUCAAUAACAAAAGAUUUAUACCAUGUUGGCACUUGAAAUGGUCAUUUGAUUUCCAAUGGGAGUCUGUUGGCAGGUAGAUCCUCAGCAGUCCUCAUUUUCAGAUCUACCUAUUUAUUCGAUCCGUAUGAUUUACCAUGCCACAGAGAUGAGUGUAUUACAGCUUCUGCAAGUAAACUAGAUGCUACAUUAGAUAGCCAAGUCUCCUAGAGCUAUUAGCCAUAUAAAGCCAAGAUAAAUUGUUUUCCUCGUGUUAGGAAAUCAAGGUGAGCCUGCUAGAAACAAUAACAAUAUAUCAAUAUUUUAAGUUUUCUAUUAAGCUCCAUUUGCCUGCAGCUCUUCCAGCUGAGGGCAGAGUGGGUUGACCAGCUCAAGGAAGUAACAUUUCUAACAUCCCAACUCAAAAAGGUACAGGGCCAUAUUGUGGAAAAGAAGCUUGUAUGCUAUGAAGUAAUGUUUUCUUGAAUGUCAAUCAUGCUUGUAAUGUUAACUUGAUGUCAAUCAUGCUUUUUAGUUGCAGAAGCCUAUUGUUUAUUGCAGUGGUGCAUUUUGUGUAAGUUCCUUCCUAAUUUACGAUGAUUCACAUUGAUAGACUUCUAGUCUAUGACACUGCCAUCGCAAAUGAUAAUUUAUAACAGCUUUAGCUCUGUUCUUUCAGUGCUGGUUUUCAAGGACUGGAGCCAAGAGCUAUUCACCAGAAGUAAAUCUGGGAGGAAGUUCACUUACUAUGAAUAUUAAUUAAUGUUUAUAUACUACGGUUUAUUUUGUUAUGCAGUGAUUUAAUUCAGACCAUCCAGAAUAGUGCCGUAUGGGUGAAGAGAAUCAGUAGCCAUGUGCUCAAUUCAUUUCAGAGAUAAACCUGCUUCCGUUCAUUUUCUUUUAUGGCAUAACCUGAAAACAAGCUUUCAUCAUUGUGGCAGAAAGGAGUGUGCAUAAGGCGGUGACAAGUGGUGCUUCUCUGUUCUCUGUAAUUAUGCAAUAAAGAGAAGAUGUUCAGAUUCACCUCCAAGCCCUUCCCCUGUGUUGUUCUUCCCAUGUGAGAGUUAACCUCUUCACUUCGCUGCUUUCUUCUUAUUCAGUCUAAUCAUCUCCUUGUGGAGAUACUAGUGGAAGUGAUUGAGACAAAGGGAUGUAACAUCAUCUUGGUGCUGAAGAGCUUUCAGAGGAGGUAAGUGUGUGACUUCCCAGCAGAGUGAGAGAAGAAUAGCUGAAAAAUCUUUCUUCAUGUCUAAGAAAAACAGGAAUGGCCAGGUCAUUGCAGGUUGCUAACAUCUUUGUAUUUUUCAUGUUGCAUUGUUUUAUACUUUGUAAUCAAAAGCUAGCACGUUAUUAGGCUAUACUCUCAAAAGAUGCCUCUCAUAUUAAAAUCCAUGACAUGAAGAAAAAAAAAAAAAAGAAAAAACACACUGGAGACUGUUAGCUCCAGCAGUUUUUUUUUUUUCCUGACAUCAGCUCUUCCCUGCCUUAAAAUAUGACCCCAAAGGCCUGAGCCUUCACCCCAGUGAAGGAGGCUGGAUGUGGGAGCCAGCCAGCAGAGCCUGCUGGGUCCAAGCCCUCUUCUGUAAGAGGGAGAGACAGCUGUGGCCCCGGUCUCUGGGCUGCCUCCUUCCCUCUGCCUGCAGAGCACAGUCCCUCAGCAUCCCAUGGCCUCUCAGAAAGCUGCUGUUGAUGCCUGUCCUAUUCCAGCAGGCACACCAGCCUGGGGAGACCCUUCCAUGCAUCUUGUACGCAUGGUAUAGCAAAUAAGCCAUAAAUAGUUUGUGCCUACUUCAGUAAGUAGCUCAGCAGUGUAGCAUGCUAUUGUAAUGGAGAAAAACCCUUAUUCCAUUAAAUUAAAUGUUAGGAAAAAUACCUGGACCUUUAAGGUUAAGGAAUUUUGAUCCAUUCAGGUGGCACAGAACAGCCUUCAGUGCACUGCACAGCCUAAGGAGAGAGCAGAGUGAUGCCCACUGUAUUUACUAUCAUGUUUGUUUUGGGAGCUAAAUUAUUCUUACUAAUUCUGCUAGCAGUGUAAUACGCUGUCUCAGUAAUGGAAAGCAUAUGAAAGCAAGCAGAUGGCGAGAGCAGAAAAAACCCAAGCAUGUCCUGAUAAUGUAGUAAGCAAGUUCAUUUUUUUGGCAUUAGGCUUUCAUAACCGAGGCAUGGUGAUAACAAGUACAGACACAUUUUUAAAGCGCAGUUCAUCAAAAAAUAUAGCCAGUUUCUUUGCAGAGCAAUGGAAGAUUACUUUGAGACUUUUAUAUAGAUAAAAGCUAGAUGUGAAUGUUGUUGAAUUAGACCCAUCAUUUAUUAUUGCUGGCAGAUGAGUGACAGCAGAUACUGGUCAGAGUGAUGCCAUCACAGUCCUGUGAUCGCUCAUAUCUUUACGAAUGUGGAUUUUCUCACCCAUUCAUUUGCAAAUAUGUAGCCACCCUCUAUUCCAGAAAAAUCACAGACACUUUGAUGCAGGGUGUUAUUGCAGUGGGCAGUAUUGGAAAUUCAAAGUAUUUUAUUUUGCUUUUAAGGUAUUCCAUCUCUGGUUGGAAGUUUUGAAGUUCAAGGUUGUUGCUUCUUAAACAUCUGGAUAUCUACAGCACGUGUGGAUCCCACCUGGCUAUGGCCCCAUUCCUCGCAGGGAGGGCAGUGUAUGGGGAGUGCUCCGUGCUCAGCAUGUCUGGAGGAGACGAAUGGCCUUGCCUCGCUGCCAGGGCAAACAGUCCUAGCAAGGGGUUUGGGGGGGGGGGGGCAGGAGCAGAACCAGCCUGACUACCUCCAACUCACAGGUUUUUUCUUUUUUUUUCUUUAAAGUCUCUCAGGCCAAAAUAUGGGCAGAAGCAAGGCCAGCUUCACUGUUUACGUGAUCUAUCAUUUUAAGGUUCUUCAGAGAAGGGAUACAUUAAGUUUUGUUAUGAUUUCAUUUUGAAGCAAUGCAGUUACAUCUCUGUGUGACAUCUCAAGUGGCUCCAGCCAUGCACUGUGAGAUGUGGCUGCAAGCAAAGCCCUGCCUUCGGCUUCCAGGAGUUUGCUUCAGAGGGAGUACGGGAGGAGGAGCUGCCAAUGCUGCUGUGCGGGGAGCAAGUGCCAGUGCUCAGUUUAGGGAGCAAACAGAACUGAGCAGUGAUCUCUUCUGCAGGGGAGGAGGUGAAAAGAGACAGCCCUCUUUCUCAUGAAACCAUGUAAUUGGUUACGGUGCUCUUUCUUCAUCAUUCAGUAACACAGCAUGUAAGUAACACAAGGGUUUUUUUUAAUAUUUCAUAUGCAUCUGGUUCAUUCCCGACUUGAAGAAACAAAGGCAAGAAAGCUUUUCUGAUUGCAUACUCUCUCUGAGGGCCUUGCUCUUGCUGCUUCCUGAGAAAAGUUGUCUCCCUUUAUCUUUUUUUUAGCAAUGGAUGCUGAUUUAACCUCCCAGGAGAUCAUGUUUUUUUUCUUCUGUGUUGCUUUUAGUGUCUCUGGGAAGUGGCAGGUGGCACUAUUCAGGAGAUGCCUUUGAUGGCCCCAUGUCCUCACCAUUUCAUUACCCAGGCAGGAGGUAGGAUUGCUGUUGCACCCUGUUUCCUGCUGUUUUCUGCUCCCACAGCUGUGCCACCCAUCUCACUGCUGUGGCUUCCCCUUGUGGGGCCUGGGGACAGAUGCAGAAGCCAAGUGACACAGGCCUGAAUUGCUGCCAGGGCAGGGCCUGAGGCUGUCUCCUGGCGGAGCCUGGGCAGGGGCUGAAAUGCUCAGCAGAGAUGAGAUGGGACAGGGCCUGCUCUAACGUGGAAGACCCAGCUUGAACCUCUAGGGCUGGGAGACCCUGUGCUGACAGCUAGAGGUCAGGGCACAUUGCUUCCCUCUGCCAUCUGUAAAUCCUGCCGGCAGUGGCACCAGACCUUGCUCCCACCUUGUUUAGGCUAAAGCCAGUGGGCCUGUCUUCAGAGCAAAGUGCUGCUCUCCCUGUGGAAAAAUCUUGCUCCUGAGUUUUGCUCAAUAAUCUCCACAGCAAGCAGCUUUUGGUGCACUGUCUGUAAGCAACUGUUCUUUUUGGUGUUUGUCCUGCAGUGAGCUAUAGUGUGUUGUGUCUCCAUACCUCUAGACAAGGCUGUGUAAGUAGUAGAGGACUUUUCCAACAGCUGAUGCCUACUACUGCUCACAGCCAGCAUAAAGCCUUCCUGCUGCCAGGCCUGCCUGCCCACGGCUGCUGUGUUUAUUUCUGGGGUCAGAGGGGAAGGGGUAUCUGGGUGUUUUAAUUAGCUAAUUCUAACAGAAACAAGUGGCACUAUGGCCACUUCCCAAAUAGAGGCAUCUGUUUGUGGAGUUCUGGCCCCAUUGGGCAGCACCAGGUAGGACCCAUCUGGCCAAGUCAUCGCUGCAGCUGUGCUGGGCAGCCCAGGAGCCCACUGGCUCCUCCCAGGUGUUCUGGAGCAGGCCAGGGGCAUUGCUUCCCUCCCACUGCCCACGCACUGCUGGAAGUGGCACAGCCCAGCUACUCGCAAAACCCUUCUGAAGUUUUUUCCCCUCUGUCUCACACAUCUGAGUCUUGUAACCUUGCUGCUGAUUCAUUUUCAGGAGGGACAGAAUAUAUUACAGAGCCGAAAUCUCAUGGGCAAAUAAUAAGUCAGCACCUGGCUGGAGCCCACAGGCUGCAACCUUCCAUCUCCUCCGAUGUUUGUAUUUUCCUCUGCAGGAAAGAGCAAUGUGUCUUUCAGCAUUUCUGCCACUGAAGAUCCUCUUCUCCAGCCUCAAGUUGAAAAAUCUUUGUGGCAGAUUUGGCAUUGCCUGUAAUAAUUUAUGAACGUGAUGUGUUGACAUGUUUACUGUGUGCAUACAUUGAGCUACUUCAAUCGCUGGCUUGUCAGGAAGUGUACCCAGGAGAGAACAGAUGAAUCCAGGCACACAGUUUGGAGGAAGCACUGGGGAGCUGAAGCAAGCACCCUUUGCUGUGAUUUUUUGGCUGGGCCCCUGCUGGGCUCACAGGAGAGGUUUCCCUGGAAGAACAUGGGUGCCAGUGAAGGAAGGCACAGAAGACCCUGGGAAAAUCACAGAGAACCAUUUAAAUGGAGGCUUUGGAGAGCAAGAACCCAAAAGGGACUGAAAGUGCUCAGAUCUGCAGAUGUCUAAUUCAGUAGAUGUUGACAAGACUGCAAGAUAAAGUGGAUGUGGAAUAUUUUUUUAACUGCCAUGCCUUAUUUCAGCAGUUAAAUGGCUCUUCUGUUUUAUAAGCAUUGUUUGGGUUGUGCAAGAGAGCUGAAUGCCUCUGUUCCCACAUCCAUGUGGGAGCGUGGUGAUUGUGCUGGGUAGGCCAGCUGAAGCUUGGCGAAGCUACCUCACUCUACCUGUGGGAAGGUGAGAGCUUGAGGCCUGGCAAAAGCAGAUGGGAAGUCAGAAAGACCACUGACAGCUGAGAUCCAGUAGUAACCAUAACAACACCGUCAUCUUUCUUAAAAGUCCCAGCACGUAAUUCUACUAAUGACUUUUAUUAAACAUUUAAGCCUUAGCCUUCAAGUGAUUCAUAUUUGUUACAAAACACCAUUGCAUUAACACAAAGCACAAGCCAAAACAAAGUUAAUGAGCCCUAAUGCUUGCUGGAUAAUUCAAAGUUUAAGAGUGAUAUUAACAAAAAUAAAAUACAGAAGAAAUCUA